AACGAACGCUGGCGGCGUGCCUAACACAUGCAAGUCGUGCGAGAAAGUUCCUUCGGGAGCGAGUAAAGCGGCGCACGGGUGAGUAACACGUAGGUAACCUGCCCCCCAGUCUGGAACAACUAGAGGAAACUCUAGCUAAUGCCGGAUGAGACCACGAUCCCUUCGGGGGUUGCGGCCAAAGAUGGCCUCUACUUGUAAGCUAUCGCUGAGGGAUGGGCCUGCGGGCCAUUAGCUUGUUGGUGAGGUAACGGCUCACCAAGGCUGUGAGUGGCUAGCUGGUCUGAGAGGAUGACCAGCCACACUGGGACUGAGACACGGCCCAGACUCCUACGGGAGGCAGCAGUGGGAAUAUUGCGCAAUGGGCGAAAGCCUGACGCAGCGACGCCGCGUGGGUGAUGAA
This 400-nucleotide ribosomal RNA is filed under the name uncultured bacterium. RNAcentral describes it as "bacterial SSU rRNA". It matches the Rfam family "Bacterial small subunit ribosomal RNA", at positions 29 to 412 of the family's 1533-position model. The record is from RNAcentral.